RNAcentral lists this ribosomal RNA (891 nucleotides) under Neocamarosporium betae. RNAcentral describes it as "partial large subunit ribosomal RNA". It matches the Rfam family "Eukaryotic large subunit ribosomal RNA", at positions 70 to 978 of the family's 3401-position model. Lineage: Eukaryota; Fungi; Ascomycota; Dothideomycetes; Neocamarosporiaceae. The record is from RNAcentral.
AGGGAUUGCCUUAGUAACGGCGAGUGAAGCGGCAACAGCUCAAAUUUGAAAUCUGGCUCUUUUAGAGUCCGAGUUGUAAUUUGCAGAGGGCGCUUUGGCGUUGGCAGCGGUCCAAGUUCCUUGGAACAGGACGUCACAGAGGGUGAGAAUCCCGUACGUGGUCGCUAGCCAUCGCCGUGUAAAGCCCCUUCGACGAGUCGAGUUGUUUGGGAAUGCAGCUCUAAAUGGGAGGUAAAUUUCUUCUAAAGCUAAAUACUGGCCAGAGACCGAUAGCGCACAAGUAGAGUGAUCGAAAGAUGAAAAGCACUUUGGAAAGAGAGUCAAAUAGCACGUGAAAUUGUUGAAAGGGAAGCGCUUGCAGCCAGACUUGCCUGUAGUUGCUCAUCCGGGCUUUUGCCCGGUGCACUCUUCUGCGGGCAGGCCAGCAUCAGUUUGGGCGGUUGGAUAAAGGUCUCUGUCAUGUACCUCUCUUCGGGGAGAACUUAUAGGGGAGACGACAUACAACCAGCCUGGACUGAGGUCCGCGCAUUUGCUAGGAUGCUGGCGUAAUGGCUGUAAGCGGCCCGUCUUGAAACACGGACCAAGGAGUCUAACAUCUAUGCGAGUGUUUGGGUGUCAAGCCCGAGCGCGUAAUGAAAGUGAACGGAGGUGGGACCCCUUUUAGGGUGCACCAUCGACCGAUCCUGAUGUCUUCGGAUGGAUUUGAGUAAGAGCAUGGCUGUUGGGACCCGAAAGAUGGUGAACUAUGCUUGAAUAGGGUGAAGCCAGAGGAAACUCUGGUGGAGGCUCGCAGCGGUUCUGACGUGCAAAUCGAUCGUCAAAUUUGGGCAUAGGGGCGAAAGACUAAUCGAACUAUCUAGUAGCUGGUUCCUGCCGAAGUUUCCCUCAGGA